GAAGAGCCUGUAAAGGUCAGGAAGCAGUAGAAAAUACAGGUGAACAUGUACUGAGCUCUACUGAAAACUAUAGUAGAUAGGUUGCUGACUGUGGGAUAUUAAUUAUUACACUGGAAGGCAUUAGUGGAUACCAGAACAUACCAGACUUGAGAUGUUUGAAACCAGUGGAUAUGUUAAAUAAAUGCCUUCAGCUGAGAUACAUGGAGUGAUUUUCGGCAUUGCUCAUGUACCUUGGGCAUGGAAGGUGGGCUUCAAGGUGAAAGUAUAUCUGCUCAGCAUCUUCUCAUCUGUAAGACUUACAUGUGCCACUUGGAAGACAAAAAUGACUUCAGGAAGGAAUGACAGCUAAACACUAACUUUCAAAAAUCAAAGCCUUAAGCCUGCAUUCCAUAUUCUUAUGCUGACAAGUCAUUGACAAGAGUAUCAAGAAAUGGAGGCCACAAGAAACUACCAAAUUCCCUGCAGAAGGAUACCUGGGACAUAAUCAGGAUGAGUGAGUACAGCUGCAGUGUAGGCAUAUGAAGAAAUACUAAGGGAUUCUUAUUAGUAAGCCUUUAAGAAUUGUCACUGCUCAAAACACUUUGUUGACCUCGAUGCAUAAAGCUAUACUACUUUAUCGAUAUGAAGGGGAGGAUUUCACUGUAGUCCAGGCAAAUGCCUUGGAUAGUUUGAAGAAUGAAAAUGAAGAGUGACCAUAUCUUCUGGGGUCAACCUGAGACUGUAUUUGUGAUGCUUUCUGAAUUGGCUAUAAGCACUCUUUCUUGGUAGAUCAGCUUAAUAGUGAAGAGGUGAUAGGUGGAGACUCCAAUUUUUUUAUGGCUUGGCAAGGAAGGCCCCAAAAAUGGCUAAGGGCAACAAAUGUGAGACGAGGAAAAGCUUCGCCUUUGAUUCGUGCUUAUUGUAAAAAGAUUAUUUAUGCGCUAAUAAGCAUGGACUAAUUUAUGGACUAAUUCAUCAGUACCUGAUGAGUGACAGCCACUUGACUCGUAUGAUUUCUGUCCUUUAAUGUGAUCCAUGAAUG
Molecule: long non-coding RNA, 1021 nt
Filed under: Phasianus colchicus (ring-necked pheasant)
Lineage: Eukaryota; Metazoa; Chordata; Aves; Galliformes; Phasianidae
Description: lncRNA (ENSPCLG00000009441.1)
Source: RNAcentral